GGAGGGGCGGGCGGGUCGCUCGUCCGGGGGCCUCAGCGGCCCCCGGGGUCGGUCACGGCUCGACGCGGGUCGCGAUCGCGCCCUUGCG
RNAcentral lists this transfer RNA (88 nucleotides) under Cellulomonas pakistanensis. RNAcentral describes it as "tRNA-Leu". Lineage: Bacteria; Bacillati; Actinomycetota; Actinomycetes; Micrococcales; Cellulomonadaceae. The record is from RNAcentral.